This 233-nucleotide ribosomal RNA is filed under the name Penicillium janthinellum. RNAcentral's name for it is "partial large subunit ribosomal RNA". It matches the Rfam family "Eukaryotic large subunit ribosomal RNA", at positions 329 to 569 of the family's 3401-position model. Lineage: Eukaryota; Fungi; Ascomycota; Eurotiomycetes; Eurotiales; Aspergillaceae. The record is from RNAcentral.
CCCAGCCGAUAGCGAACAAGUAGAGUGAUCGAAAGAUGAAAAGCACUUUGAAAAGAGAGUUAAACAGCACGUGAAAUUGUUGAAAGGGAAGCGCUUGCGACCAGACUCGCUCGCGGGGUUCAGCCGGCCUUCGGGCCGGUGUACUUCCUCGCGGGCGGGCCAGCGUCGGUUUGGGCGGCCGGUCAAAGGCCCUCGGAAUGUAACGCCCCCCGGGGCGUCUUAUAGCCGAGGGU